Molecule: transfer RNA, 90 nt
Filed under: Aspergillus terricola var. indicus
Lineage: Eukaryota; Fungi; Ascomycota; Eurotiomycetes; Eurotiales; Aspergillaceae
Also listed under: 5 other names
Description: tRNA-Pro
Source: RNAcentral
GCUCCGUUGGUCUAGUGGUAUGAUUCUCGCUUAGGGCUAACCCUGAAGCACAAAUGCGAGAGGUCCCGCGUUCGAUCCGCGGAUGGAGCC